UACGGAAGGCAGCAGUGGGGAAUAUUGCACAAUGGGCGCAAGCCUGAUGCAGCCAUGCCGCGUGUAUGAAGAAGGCCUUCGGGUUGUAAAGUACUUUCAGUCGUGAGGAAGGUGUUAAGGUUAAUAACCUUAGCAAUUGACGUUAGCGACAGAAGAAGCACCGGCUAACUCCGUGCCAGCAGCCGCGGUAAUACGGAGGGUGCGAGCGUUAAUCGGAAUUACUGGGCGUAAAGGGCACGCAGGCGGUUAAUUAAGUUGGAUGUGAAAUCCCCGGGCUUAACCUGGGAAUGGCAUUCAAGCUGGUUAGCUAGAGUCUUGUAGAGGGGGUAGAAUUCCGAUGUGUAGCGGUGAAAUGCGUAGAGAUGUGGAGGAAUACCGGUGGCGAAGGCGGCCCCUGGACAAAGACUGACGCUCAUGUGCGAAAGCGUGGGGAGCAAAC
Molecule: ribosomal RNA, 439 nt
Filed under: uncultured bacterium
Lineage: Bacteria
Description: bacterial SSU rRNA
Rfam family: Bacterial small subunit ribosomal RNA
Source: RNAcentral